This is an unclassified non-coding RNA of Callithrix jacchus (white-tufted-ear marmoset), 299 nucleotides long. It matches the Rfam family "Metazoan signal recognition particle RNA". Rfam says of the family: The signal recognition particle (SRP) is a universally conserved ribonucleoprotein. It is involved in the co-translational targeting of proteins to membranes. The eukaryotic SRP consists of a 300-nucleotide 7S RNA and six proteins: SRPs 72, 68, 54, 19, 14, and 9. Lineage: Eukaryota; Metazoa; Chordata; Mammalia; Primates; Cebidae. The record is from Ensembl.
GCUGGGUGUGGUGGUGCGUGCCUGUAGUCCCAGCUAAUCGGGAGGCUGAGGUGGGAGGAUCGACUGAGCCCAGGAGUUCCGACUGCAGUGUGCUAUGCUGAUCGGGUGUCCGCACUAAGUUCAGCAUCAAUAUGGUGACCUCCAGGGAGCGGGGGACCAGCAGGUUGCCUAAGGAGGGGUGAACCUGCCCAGGAAAAAAACAGAGCAGGUCAAAACUCCUGUGCUGAUCAGUAGUGGGAUCGUGCCUGUGAAUAGCCACUGCACUCCAGCUUGGACAACAUAGUGAGACCCCAACUCUU